This 139-nucleotide ribosomal RNA is filed under the name Acidithiobacillus sp. enrichment culture. RNAcentral describes it as "partial 16S ribosomal RNA". It matches the Rfam family "Bacterial small subunit ribosomal RNA", at positions 337 to 475 of the family's 1533-position model. The record is from RNAcentral. Lineage: Bacteria; Pseudomonadati; Pseudomonadota; Acidithiobacillia; Acidithiobacillales; Acidithiobacillaceae.
GCCUACGGGAGGCAGCAGUGGGGAAUUUUUCGCAAUGGGGGCAACCCUGACGAAGCAAUGCCGCGUGGAUGAAGAAGGCCUUCGGGUUGUAAAGUCCUUUCGUGAGGACGAAAAGGCGGGUUCUAAUACGAUCUGCUGU